AAAAGACUUAGUCCCAACCUUACCGUUAAUUAUUGCUCGACAUAUACAUGCAAGUAUCCGCGCCCCAGUGCAAACGCCCCCAACACCUUAACCAAAAGGCAAAAGGAGCAGGCAUCAGGCACACCAUCAAACCGUAGCCCAAGACGCCUCGCCCAGCCACACCCUCACGGGUACUCAGCAGUAAUCAACAUUAAGCAAUAGGCGCAAGCCUGACUUAGCCAGAGCAACCAUGGACCGGUAAAUCUUGUGCCAGCCACCGCGGUCAUACAAGAGGCCCAAAUUAACCGUACACGGCGUAAAGAGUGGCCCCAGAAUAUCAUUAAUUAAUUAAGAUUAAACCACUAACCCUGGCCGUCAUAAGCCCAAGGUACCCUGAAACCCACCCAAAACGAUCUUAAUCACCUAGAUCCAUCCGACUCCACGAAAGCCAGGGUACAAACUGGGAUUAGAUACCCCACUAUGCCUGGCCCUAAAUCCCGAUGUUCCCAGCACAUAAAACAUCCGCCCGAGAACUACGAGCACAAACGCUUAAAACUCUAAGGACUUGGCGGUGCCCUAAACCCACCUAGAGGAGCCUGUUCUAUAAUCGAUAACCCACGAUACACCCAACCACUUCUUGCCAAAACAGCCUACAUACCGCCGUCACAGCCCACCUCCAUGAGAGCACAACAGCGAGCCCAAUAGCCCGCCGCCCCCCGCUAACAAGACAGGUCAAGGUAUAGCCUACGAAGUGGAAGAAAUGGGCUACAUUUCCUAAGAUAGAAAACCACGAAAAGGGGCCUGAAACCUACCCCUAGAAGGCGGAUUUAGCAGUAAAGAGAGACAAUCAUGCUCUCCUUAAGCCGGUCCUAGGGCACGUACACACCGCCCGUCACCCUCAUCAUAAGCCCCCACAAACCCACUAACUAAUACAACAGCACAGCUAAAGAUGAGGUAAGUCGUAACAAGGUAAGUGUACCGGAAGGUGUACUUAGCAUACU
This 980-nucleotide non-coding RNA is filed under the name Psittacula eupatria (Alexandrine parakeet). RNAcentral describes it as "12S ribosomal RNA". It matches the Rfam family "Bacterial small subunit ribosomal RNA". Lineage: Eukaryota; Metazoa; Chordata; Aves; Psittaciformes; Psittacidae. The record is from RNAcentral.